RNAcentral lists this transfer RNA (74 nucleotides) under bacterium. RNAcentral describes it as "tRNA-Asp". It matches the Rfam family "tRNA". From Rfam's summary of the family: Transfer RNA (tRNA) molecules are approximately 80 nucleotides in length. Their secondary structure includes four short double-helical elements and three loops (D, anti-codon, and T loops). Further hydrogen bonds mediate the characteristic L-shaped molecular structure. tRNAs have two regions of fundamental functional importance: the anti-codon, which is responsible for specific mRNA codon recognition, and the 3' end, to which the tRNAs corresponding amino acid is attached (by aminoacyl-tRNA synthetases). tRNAs cope with the degeneracy of the genetic code in two manners: having more than one tRNA (with a specific anti-codon) for a particular amino acid; and 'wobble' base-pairing, i.e. permitting non-standard base-pairing at the 3rd anti-codon position. The record is from RNAcentral.
GCGGGCGUAGCUUAGUUGGUUAAAGCGCCUCCCUGUCACGGAGGAGAUCGUGGGUUCGAGUCCCAUCGCCCGCG